Molecule: ribosomal RNA, 253 nt
Filed under: uncultured bacterium
Lineage: Bacteria
Description: partial 16S ribosomal RNA
Rfam family: Bacterial small subunit ribosomal RNA
Source: RNAcentral
UACGGGGGGGGCAAGCGUUGUUCGGAAUUAUUGGGCGUAAAGCGCGUGUAGGCGGCUUUGCAAGUCGGGUGUGAAAGCCCUCAGCUUAACUGAGGAAGUGCGCCCGAAACUGCAGAGCUUGAGUACCGGAGAGGAUGGCGGAAUUCCCCAAGUAGAGGUGAAAUUCGUAGAUAUGGGGAGGAACACCGGUGGCGAAGGCGGCCAUCUGGACGGAUACUGACGCUGAGACGCGAAAGCGUGGGUAGCAAACAGG